ACUUCGUGGUUUGGACAUUGCAUUAUUUUUCCAUUGAAUCUUUCUCAUACCUCAUAAAAAGGUUCUCUAUCUAAUUAGCUAAAGUUAGUGAUCUCACCCCUCAAUU
Capsicum annuum is the source of this 106-nucleotide non-coding RNA. The record is from Rfam. NCBI's taxonomy places the organism in Eukaryota, Viridiplantae, Streptophyta, Magnoliopsida, Solanales, Solanaceae.